GCCGUUGUAGUCUUAAUGGGUUAGACAUUGGCCUUUCACGGCAAAGAAACGAGUUCAAUUCUCGUAAAGGGUA
The sequence is a transfer RNA, 73 nucleotides long. It matches the Rfam family "tRNA". Rfam says of the family: Transfer RNA (tRNA) molecules are approximately 80 nucleotides in length. Their secondary structure includes four short double-helical elements and three loops (D, anti-codon, and T loops). Further hydrogen bonds mediate the characteristic L-shaped molecular structure. tRNAs have two regions of fundamental functional importance: the anti-codon, which is responsible for specific mRNA codon recognition, and the 3' end, to which the tRNAs corresponding amino acid is attached (by aminoacyl-tRNA synthetases). tRNAs cope with the degeneracy of the genetic code in two manners: having more than one tRNA (with a specific anti-codon) for a particular amino acid; and 'wobble' base-pairing, i.e. permitting non-standard base-pairing at the 3rd anti-codon position.